UCAUCUUCUCUCUUGGUCUCUUGGUCUCUCCCAUAACAGAGGUCACGACCACGACGCCGUUAUGCAACUCGUCAAGCAAGUCAAGUCGGGCUCCUCUCUAUCAGAAACCCACACCACCGUUCUCUUCAAAAACACAACGACUGCAAACUCUGCGCUCGGCGCCAUCGGCUCGACGCCGUUCAAGGUGAGCUGCCUACGGAGGCUGAGGUCGAUG
Molecule: long non-coding RNA, 214 nt
Filed under: Salvia miltiorrhiza (redroot sage)
Lineage: Eukaryota; Viridiplantae; Streptophyta; Magnoliopsida; Lamiales; Lamiaceae
Description: long non-coding RNA (SMIL_LNC002261)
Source: RNAcentral